RNAcentral lists this long non-coding RNA (449 nucleotides) under Serinus canaria (Common canary). RNAcentral's name for it is "lncRNA (ENSSCAG00000011404.1)". Lineage: Eukaryota; Metazoa; Chordata; Aves; Passeriformes; Fringillidae. The record is from RNAcentral.
GUUUUUAUUCUGAUACAGGUGGCAAAUUUACCAAGGAAAACAUCCGCCAGAGAGCAGAGAAAAAGGAUAAUCCUGAACUAAUUUAUGCUCCUCAUUUGAAACAUUGAUGCCUGGUAUUGAGAGUAAAGCAAGGAAGCUGGUAAAAUUUGGGGACUACUGGUAUCUUUGAUAUAUUUCUAGCAACGCCUUUCAUGAGAAUUUUAGUUCUUUGUGAAUUUGAAAAUAGAGGUGAUAAACCAGGUGCAGUUUUUGUGAAGCAAAUGAGUCUUAUUGACAGAUCUGGUUCAGAUGAUCUGAUAGAUGAUUUAGAUUCACAAAGAAUUUGCAGAUGCCACUUGGAUUUUCCAUUGCAGUUACUGGUAACUGAUUUUUAAUUCUUUGUUGCUGUUUGAGAGUGAUAGUUUUAUUUGUUUCACUUUUUAAAUAAAACUGAGCUGUUUAUAUCUUUG